RNAcentral lists this ribosomal RNA (253 nucleotides) under uncultured bacterium. RNAcentral's name for it is "partial 16S ribosomal RNA". It matches the Rfam family "Bacterial small subunit ribosomal RNA", at positions 524 to 776 of the family's 1533-position model. The record is from RNAcentral.
UACGGGGGGGGCAAGCGUUGUUCGGAAUUACUGGGCGUAAAGGGCUCGUAGGCGGCCAACUAAGUCAGACGUGAAAUCCCUCGGCUUAACCGGGGAACUGCAUCUGAUACUGGAUGGCUUGAGUUCGGGAGAGGGAUGCGGAAUUCCAGGUGUAGCGGUGAAAUGCGUAGAUAUCUGGAGGAACACCGGUGGCGAAGGCGGCAUCCUGGACCGGUUCUGACGCUGAUGCGCGAAAGCGUGGGGAGCAAACGGG